GAUGAAGAACGUAGCGAAAUGCGAUAAGUAAUGUGAAUUGCAGAAUUCAGUGAAUCAUAGAAUCUUUGAACGCACCUUGCGCCCUUUGGACAUUCCGAAGGGCAUGCCUGUUUGAGUAUCAUGAACACCUCAACUCUCACGGCUUGUCCGUGAUGAGCUUGGACUUUGGGGGUCUUGCCGGCCUGUGGUCGGCUCCUCUCAAAUGGAUCAGCUUGCCAGUGUUUGGUGGCAUCACAGGUGUGAUAACUAUCUGCGCUUGUGGUUUUCCAUCAGAUAACCUUCAGUGAUAUGGAGGUUCGCUGGAGCUCACAAAUGUCUCUCCUUAGUGAGGACAGCUCUUUGAACGUUUGAUCUCAAAUCAGGUAGGACUACCCGCUGAACUUAAGCAUAUCAAUAAGCGGAGGA
Molecule: unclassified non-coding RNA, 405 nt
Filed under: soil metagenome
Description: partial contains 5.8S ribosomal RNA, internal transcribed spacer 2, and large subunit ribosomal RNA
Rfam family: 5.8S ribosomal RNA (bases 1-121)
Source: RNAcentral